GUUGAUGAUGAUAACCUUGAAUAGGAAGUGCCAUCAGAUGCGAGAACUGAUGAUAACCUUCUUAUUUGUCUGAAA
This 75-nucleotide small nucleolar RNA is filed under the name Otus sunia (Oriental scops-owl). RNAcentral's name for it is "Small nucleolar RNA SNORD49 (ENSOSUG00000006256.1)". It matches the Rfam family "Small nucleolar RNA SNORD49". From Rfam's summary of the family: U49 belongs to the C/D class of snoRNA which contain the C (UGAUGA) and D (CUGA) box motifs. Most of the members of the box C/D family function in directing site-specific 2'-O-methylation of substrate RNAs. Lineage: Eukaryota; Metazoa; Chordata; Aves; Strigiformes; Strigidae. The record is from Rfam by way of RNAcentral.